This 975-nucleotide long non-coding RNA is filed under the name Rattus norvegicus (Norway rat). RNAcentral describes it as "long non-coding RNA NONRATT000304". Lineage: Eukaryota; Metazoa; Chordata; Mammalia; Rodentia; Muridae. The record is from RNAcentral.
AUAUAUUUCCAGGAUUUCUUGACCAUAAUAUAUUUAUUUCCCUUUUUAAUAGGCAUGAAAAUGACUUCUGCAAACUUGGCAACAGGAAUAUUUCUCUUCUCCCAGACUGCAAUGGGAAUGAUUGGCAAUUCCUCAAUACUAUUUUAUUAUAUCAUUUUGAUAUUCACUGGCAAGCAUUUAAUGCCGAAAGACCAGAUUAUAGAGCACCUGACAUUUGCCAAUUGUUUGUCUAUCAUCUCAAAUGGCAUUCCACAGACUCUGUCAGAUUUGGGAUUUAAGGAUUUCCUAGAUGAUACUGGAUGUAAACUGAUAAUGUUUAUUUACCGAAUAACCAGGGGGAUGUCUCUGUAUGCAAUGUGCCUAUUGAGUUGCUUCCAAGCAAUCACAAUCAGCCCCAGGAACUCCAGGUGGAUGAUGCUUAAACACAGAGCCACAAAGUACAUUGGUCUCUCCUGCUUAGUCAGUUGGCUUCUGCACCUGCUUCUAAACAUCACAGCUCCAAUAAAAGUGACAGGCCCCAUUUCUAGCAAAAACGUGACAAACAUGUUGAGUUAUGGGUACUGCUCAUGGUUCACUUCUAGCAAUGUUGCAACUGCAUUGUAUAUGUUCUUAUUGUGCUUCUACGAUGGCUUGUGUCUGAGUCUCAUGGCCUGCUCAAGUGUUUCCAUGGUGAAUAUCCUCUACAGACAUAAGAGACAAGUCAAACAUAUCCACAGUGCUCAACAUUUUCUGAAAGUCUUGCCUGAGGACAGAGCCACCCAAAUUAUUCUCAUCCUGGUAUGCACAUUUGUCAUCUCUUACUCAAUCUCUUCUAUUCGUGUGAUCUUUUCAAGCUACACUGAGAAAUCAGUGCUAUGGGGAGUGAGUUUAUUUAUAUUUCUAGAAAUAUGCUUUCCCAUAUUUUGCCCCUUUGUACUCGUCAGCAAUAUCAAGUGUCAUUUCAGACUGUUUUUACCGUGUUGUGGUAAGAGAUAG